Long non-coding RNA from Asparagus officinalis (garden asparagus), 450 nucleotides. RefSeq lists it as uncharacterized. The transcript is spliced from 3 exons. Lineage: Eukaryota; Viridiplantae; Streptophyta; Magnoliopsida; Asparagales; Asparagaceae. The record is from RefSeq and is a predicted model, not a curated record.
CCAUUCCCCUUCUCUACCCUCCAAAAUAAAACUCCCAAACAAGGUUAAAAUGAAAUUUCCCUUCCCUUCCCCCUCUCUACCCUCCAUCCAAUCAGGCCAUUACUUUCUCUCCAUUUCUCUUUUGGAUCUGCUUUGCUCUGAUCUCAAGAGGAGAUAAUCAUGCCGUCGGAAAAGAGCAGCGUAUCCAUCGCAACCAGAAAGCUGAGUUGAAGCAGCAGCCAGCGAAAGUGAAGGAUCUAAAAUCGUUCUUCGUGUUCAAGUUCAGGACGGCGUUUGGCGGAGGGAAGUCCACCGGAUUUGGUCUUAUUUAUGAUUCCGUCAGAGAGCGCGAAGAAGAAUGCGCCCAAGUAUCGGCUCAUCAGGAAUGGCCUGGCCACUAUGGUUGAGAAAUCAAGGAAGUAGAUGAAAGAAAGGAAGAACAGAGCAAAGAAAAUCCGCGGAGUUAAGAAG